Molecule: unclassified non-coding RNA, 306 nt
Filed under: Hevea brasiliensis (rubber tree)
Lineage: Eukaryota; Viridiplantae; Streptophyta; Magnoliopsida; Malpighiales; Euphorbiaceae
Source: RNAcentral
AGGUUUUGACUCCAUUGCUCACACGCUCUCUCAGCUCUCUAAUAAUCUGGAUAACGCUCUUCAGGUAAUCGGAGGUUCUUUCAAGUUUUAAGCCUUGAGAGCAUCCUCUGUUAAAGAAUUUUUAUUUUCCUUGCUUUAAUGCUCAUCAUUCCUUUCUAAGAUCACAAUGAACAUUGGAUUCUGACGAGAUUCUGCUAAUUCUUUGAAAAAACAAUGACAGAUUUAAUCUUUCUCUGAUCCUGUGGGAACUUACUUUGUUUUCAGGGAGCUAGAUACCUAGCCGAACCACCCACAUUGAGUGAAAUA